CUCUACCUAAUUAAGCCGCUUUUCCACUAUCGGGCCGAACCGUUCUCUUCGCUUAACCGUUCCGUUCCGUGCCGAUCCGGGCCAGUCAGCACGGAUACGGUUUCAUUUUCCACUAUGGUGCUGAUAACGGAACUCUUUGGAAUGUAAAUACAAAUCCGUUAGUCGUUGCCUUGGUAAUGCUAUUGUAAUAUAAACAGAGAUAUGGACGAUGAUCAGAUAUUUCUGUUUUUGGGACUUCGUUAAAUAACAGAAAAAAAGGACACAACUAUAGACAACGCAAAAAAUAAAAUAAACAGGUGGAGACGGGCACAGAAGGUAAAACCUUUCUAAAAACGAACACAUUUAUUGACGGUAUUAAUGCAUGAGCUAUGAACGCAGCGUAACAGCUGUUUACUUGGCUGUUUGAUCAUACAGCGCGCUUUCCCUUAGCACACACAUUCUAUCAGCACGGUUUGGCACGGUUGUCUAACCGUGCCGAGAAUUCCGGGCCGAGAACGGUUCGUAAUCGUGCCGUGCCUACCAGGCUCAGGUGGAAACACAACUGGAACCGUACCUGACCGUUCUAAGAACCGUUCGGCCCGAUAGUGGAAAAGCGGUUUAACUUUCGCUUUCGAUUUGGUUCCAAACAUAUAGGCUAAUGGCUUCUAGUUCAGGGAUGCCUGACUGAGGUAAUUUAAAUUAAUUGAAGAAGCAGCGUCACUGCAGCAAAACGAUUAACAAUGUCACAGAAAAGGACAUAUCUUUCUGGUGCAGAAAAAAGAAAACGGAAAAAAUCAGAGGAAGAGAAAAAACAGCAAGAUAAAGGAGCACUGUUGAAAGAUUUUGGAGGUGGGGCACAACCAAUGCCAUCUGCCUCAAGUACCAGUGCUACAGCUGAUGAUGAUAUUCCAUGUACAUCCUCUGCAGGUGA
Long non-coding RNA from Labeo rohita (rohu), 910 nucleotides. RefSeq lists it as uncharacterized. The transcript has 4 exons. Lineage: Eukaryota; Metazoa; Chordata; Actinopteri; Cypriniformes; Cyprinidae. The record is from RefSeq and is a predicted model, not a curated record.